GACGAACGCUGGCGGCGCGCCUAACACAUGCAAGUCGAACGGAGUUGUGUUGAAAGCUUGCUGGAUAUACAACUUAGUGGCGGACGGGUGAGUAACACGUGAGUAACCUGCCUCUCAGAGUGGAAUAACGUUUGGAAACGAACGCUAAUACCGCAUAACGUGAGAAGAGGGCAUCCUCUUUUUACCAAAGAUUUAUCGCUGAGAGAUGGGCUCGCGUCUGAUUAGAUAGUUGGUGAGGUAACGGCUCACCAAGUCGACGAUCAGUAGCCGGACUGAGAGGUUGAACGGCCACAUCGGGACUGAGAUACGGCCCAG
Molecule: ribosomal RNA, 315 nt
Filed under: uncultured bacterium
Lineage: Bacteria
Description: bacterial SSU rRNA
Rfam family: Bacterial small subunit ribosomal RNA
Source: RNAcentral